AGUAAGAUUGUUCUUCUUCAGGAGAUUUUACCCUCAAAGUUACCAGCACGUCGACGAAGAAAACAUAGAGACAAAUAAAAGAUAGAUUUAAAGAACAAUAUAAGAAAAUCAAAGGGUCCAAUAUGUCUGUUCCACCACAGAGGUUGCCAUGAGACUAACUACAUCCGAAAUGAGCCAAGAGUGAAGGUACAGGAACACAACAAUUAAUAAUGAAGACAUGCCUGUUCUAUCGCUAAUGGAAUUUCCCUAAAGUACCUGUUUCGAGGAGUCAAGGUCUGGAAGUCUGCUUUCGUGAUGACAUUUGCUGUACUUGCCGUAAUGCUUUUGGUUACUGUGCCUGAAACUCACUCUGGCCGUCACUAUCAUGGAAGCUACUCUGACAGUGAUGAGAGGUUCUAUCUUGCCCAGAUCCCAACAUUUCACUGGUAUCAACCGAGGCCAGUGCCACCCCGACUUCAGUUCCCUCUCUGGCCCUUCUUCCCUGGGUUACUGCCCCAGCCGGCCCCUGCUCCUAUCCCAGCACCAAGGCCUGGACCAAGUCCGGGCCAGACCACCACUGCCCCUGCCACAACUAGUAAAAGGGGAGAUAACGGAUAAACAGGACCCAUCUCAGAACCGGACCAAUACCAACCUAAUGGAUCUUCUUUUAGACUAUAUCUUUUUAUUCUAAAAUCACAAUGGUACAUUCAAUAACAACGUAUUAUACUUUAUUCAUAAAAGAUUCUGGGUGAAAUGGUGUAUCAUUUUGUUUCGUGUUUUGUUUAAUGUUCAUUGUUGUUUAUUGAAUUUCAUUCAGCUGUAUUAAUCAUACUUUAUUAUUUGUGCAUUUCUAUAUAUUUGCUAUUUUGUUCACUGGAAUAUGAUUUUCUGGUGCAUCUUAUUGUCUUUGUGUGGAUUCAUGUUGAAGAUCUGCUUUUCUUAAUAUGUGUACAUCUCAAUGUAUAUAAUGGUAUCUUGUUAUACACUGUAUCAUUUUUAUAUUUUCCUACAAUCAUUUCAAUUUGA
Long non-coding RNA from Oncorhynchus gorbuscha (pink salmon), 1005 nucleotides. RefSeq lists it as uncharacterized. The transcript has 5 exons. NCBI's taxonomy places the organism in Eukaryota, Metazoa, Chordata, Actinopteri, Salmoniformes, Salmonidae. The record is from RefSeq and is a predicted model, not a curated record.